RNAcentral lists this ribosomal RNA (478 nucleotides) under uncultured bacterium. Its description in RNAcentral is "partial 16S ribosomal RNA". It matches the Rfam family "Bacterial small subunit ribosomal RNA", at positions 28 to 523 of the family's 1533-position model. The record is from RNAcentral.
GACGAACGCUGGCGGCGUGCUUAACACAUGCAAGUCGAACGGUAAGGCCCUUCGGGGUACACGAGUGGCGAACGGGUGAGUAACACGUGGGUGAUCUGCCCUGCACUUCGGGAUAAGCCUGGGAAACUGGGUCUAAUACCGGAUAGGACCACUGCCUGCAUGGGUGGUGGUGGAAAGCUUUUGCGGUGUGGGAUGGGCCCGCGGCCUAUCAGCUUGUUGGAGGGGUGAUGGCCUACCAAGGCGACGACGGGUAGCCGGCCUGAGAGGGUGACCGGCCACACUGGGACUGAGAUACGGCCCAGACUCCUACGGGAGGCAGCAGUGGGGAAUAUUGCACAAUGGGCGCAAGCCUGAUGCAGCGACGCCGCGUGAGGGAUGACGGCCUUCGGGUUGUAAACCUCUUUCAGCACCGACGAAGCGCAAGUGACGGUAGGUGCAGAAGAAGGACCGGCCAACUACGUGCCAGCAGCCGCCGCGG